UACAGAGGGUGCGAGCGUUAAUCGGAAUUACUGGGCGUAAAGCGUGCGCAGGCGGCUUUGCAAGACAGAUGGGAAAUCCCCGGGCUUAACCUGGGAACUGCAUUUGUGACUGCAUGGCUAGAGUGCGGCAGAGGGGGAUGGAAUUCCGCGUGUAGCAGUGAAAUGCGUAGAUAUGCGGAGGAACACCGAUGGCGAAGGCAAUCCCCUGGGCCUGCACUGACGCUCAUGCACGAAAGCGUGGGGAGCAAACAGG
Molecule: ribosomal RNA, 253 nt
Filed under: uncultured bacterium
Lineage: Bacteria
Description: partial 16S ribosomal RNA
Rfam family: Bacterial small subunit ribosomal RNA
Source: RNAcentral